CGCGGGGUAGAGGAACGGUACCUCGGGGGGCUCAUAAUCCCCAGGAGCGGGUUCAAUUCCCGCCCCCGCAACAA
RNAcentral lists this transfer RNA (74 nucleotides) under Candidatus Wolfebacteria bacterium CG_4_10_14_0_8_um_filter_37_11. RNAcentral describes it as "tRNA-Met". It matches the Rfam family "tRNA". From Rfam's summary of the family: Transfer RNA (tRNA) molecules are approximately 80 nucleotides in length. The record is from RNAcentral. Lineage: Bacteria; Candidatus Wolfeibacteriota.